GGGGUGUAGCUCAGUGGUAGAGCAUGUGCUUAGCAUGCAUGAGGCCCUGUGUUCAAUCCCCAGCAUCCAACA
RNAcentral lists this transfer RNA (72 nucleotides) under Marmota monax (woodchuck). Its description in RNAcentral is "tRNA.Ala". It matches the Rfam family "tRNA". From Rfam's summary of the family: Transfer RNA (tRNA) molecules are approximately 80 nucleotides in length. The record is from RNAcentral. Lineage: Eukaryota; Metazoa; Chordata; Mammalia; Rodentia; Sciuridae.